Physeter macrocephalus (sperm whale) is the source of this 644-nucleotide long non-coding RNA. RefSeq lists it as uncharacterized. Lineage: Eukaryota; Metazoa; Chordata; Mammalia; Artiodactyla; Physeteridae. The record is from RefSeq and is a predicted model, not a curated record. The transcript has 3 exons.
CAGCGACUCAAGCGCGAGGAGUCCGCAGCCCCGCCGUGACACAGCCCGGCCCCCGAGGCGCAGAGUUCUCCUGUCGAAAACUCUCACCUAAAUCAGUGUUACAGCCUCCACGGAACAGCUGGAGGGGUCUUACCAGAGCACACGAGGAUGAACCUGCCUAAGAGACUGGAUUCCUGAGCACGAAGCAGAGUUUGAAAUGAAUCCUGCCUGGCUCUGCCAGACCAGCAGUUAUAGCUACACUUGUGUUGUUUGAUGACCUGUCGCUGCUUCAAAAGGAAAAAAAAUCAAAUUAGAGAGAUGGUGACAACUGAGACCAAGGCCAGAAAUGUUCUUCCCCCACCUGUUCUAACGCCUCAGGUCUCUGCUUAAAUAUCACCUCCUCAGAAAGGCCUUCCCUGAACACCCAGCUUAAAGAUGUUCUCUAGUUUGACCUCUUGUUCAUUUCCUUCAUGGCAUUUCUUAGUCUUGCCAUUUACUGAUCUAUUUAUGUGUUUUUGCCCAUGUUCCUCACUAGAAGGUAAGUUCCAUGAGACCAGGAAUCUUUGACUGUUGUGUACGGCACUGUGUCACCAGAUUUAGUGUUCAAUAAAAACUUGAGUGGAUGAAUGAAUCAGUUAACCAAUUAAUGAAUCUGGCACCGGGCU